This 76-nucleotide transfer RNA is filed under the name Clostridiales bacterium. RNAcentral's name for it is "tRNA-Ala". It matches the Rfam family "tRNA". From Rfam's summary of the family: Transfer RNA (tRNA) molecules are approximately 80 nucleotides in length. Their secondary structure includes four short double-helical elements and three loops (D, anti-codon, and T loops). Further hydrogen bonds mediate the characteristic L-shaped molecular structure. tRNAs have two regions of fundamental functional importance: the anti-codon, which is responsible for specific mRNA codon recognition, and the 3' end, to which the tRNAs corresponding amino acid is attached (by aminoacyl-tRNA synthetases). tRNAs cope with the degeneracy of the genetic code in two manners: having more than one tRNA (with a specific anti-codon) for a particular amino acid; and 'wobble' base-pairing, i.e. permitting non-standard base-pairing at the 3rd anti-codon position. The record is from RNAcentral. RNAcentral also lists the same sequence under 1 other name. Lineage: Bacteria; Bacillati; Bacillota; Clostridia; Eubacteriales.
GGGGGUGUAGCUCAGCUGGCAGAGCGCCUGCUUCGCAAGUAGGAGGCCGGGAGUUCGAGUCUCCUCAUCUCCACCA